CCAAUAGCGUAUAUUAAAGUUGUUGCAGUUAAAAAGCUCGUAGUUGAAUUUGGGAUCAGACUGUCAGUCAUGCUUCAGUACGCACUGGCAUUAUUGAUUCCUACCUUCUGAAGAACUGCGAUAUCAUUAAUUUGGUGUCAUGAGAAAUCAGGACUGUUACUUUGAAAAAAUUAGAGUGUUUAAAGCAGGCGCACACUUGAAUACAUUAGCAUGGAAUAAUGAAAUAGGACGUUUGAUUCUAUUUUGUUAGUUUCUAGAAUUGACGUAAUGAUUAAUAGGGAUAGUUGGGGGCAUUAGUAUUUAAUUGUCAGAGGUGAAAUUCUUGGAUUUAUUGAAGACUAACUACUGCAAAAGCAUUUGCCAAGGAUGUUUUCAUUAAUCAAGAACGAAAGUUAGGAGAUUGAAGACGAUCAGAUACCGUUGUAGUCUUAACCAUAAACUAUGCUGACUAGGAAUCGGAUGAUGUUAAUUUUUUAAUGACUCAUUUGGCGUCUUACA
Molecule: ribosomal RNA, 498 nt
Filed under: uncultured Glomeromycotina
Lineage: Eukaryota; Fungi; Glomeromycota
Description: partial small subunit ribosomal RNA
Rfam family: Eukaryotic small subunit ribosomal RNA
Source: RNAcentral